GAGUUUGAUCAUGGCUCAGAUUGAACGCUGGCGGCAUGCCCUUACACAUGCAAGUCGAACGGCAGCACGGGAGCUUGCUCCUGGUGGCGAGUGGCGAACGGGUGAGUAAUGCAUCGGAACGUAUCCUGGAGUGGGGGAUAACGUAGCGAAAGUUACGCUAAUACCGCAUAUUCUGUGAGCAGGAAAGCGGGGGACCUUCGGGCCUCGCGCUCUUGGAGCGGCCGAUGUCGGAUUAGCUAGUUGGUGAGGUAAAGGCUCACCAAGGCGACGAUCCGUAGCAGGUCUGAGAGGAUGAUCUGCCACACUGGAACUGAGACACGGUCCAGACUCCUACGGGAGGCAGCAGUGGGAAUUUGGACAAUGGGGGCAACCCUGAUCCAGCCAUGCCGCGUGAGUGAAGAAGGCCU
This 407-nucleotide ribosomal RNA is filed under the name bacterium enrichment culture clone ALO1_GLFRUDD03HJW6M. Its description in RNAcentral is "bacterial SSU rRNA". It matches the Rfam family "Bacterial small subunit ribosomal RNA", at positions 9 to 417 of the family's 1533-position model. The record is from RNAcentral.